This 255-nucleotide ribosomal RNA is filed under the name uncultured bacterium. Its description in RNAcentral is "partial 16S ribosomal RNA". It matches the Rfam family "Bacterial small subunit ribosomal RNA", at positions 524 to 776 of the family's 1533-position model. The record is from RNAcentral.
UACGUAGGGCGCAAGCGUUGUCCGGAAUUAUUGGGCGUAAAGAGCUCGUAGGCGGCCAGUUGCGUCUGCUGUGAAAUCCCGGGGCUCAACCCCGGGCGUGCAGUGGAUACGGGCUGGCUAGAGGCAGGCAGGGGGAGAACGGAAUUCCCGGUGUAGCGGUGAAAUGCGCAGAUAUCGGGAGGAACACCGGUGGCGAAGGCGGUUCUCUGGGCCGUGUACUGACGCUGAGGAGCGAAAGCGUGGGGAGCGAACAGG